RNAcentral lists this long non-coding RNA (3252 nucleotides) under Malus domestica (apple). Its description in RNAcentral is "long non-coding RNA (MDOM_LNC008886)". The record is from RNAcentral. Lineage: Eukaryota; Viridiplantae; Streptophyta; Magnoliopsida; Rosales; Rosaceae.
AAAACAAAAAAACUUUAAGAUAAUAAACUAAUAUUAAUCCUAAAAAACUACUAAAGGAAAGGGUGAAAGAAAAAAUUAUUAGUUUGUGCUGUUCUCAUGGUAAUAGUGGUUUUUGUAUUGUACGAUCAUGUGUUACAUUUUAUGCAUUAUUAUGUGGAUGAAUGAAUAAGUUAAUUACAUCGCAUGUCAUAGGGUGAAUAUUACAUUAAAAAAUUCUUCAUUCUUGUUAUUCGUCAAAUUAAUGGUUGUGCAUUUGUAUGAGGACCUAGAUCUGUUGAGGAUGCAGAUCUUCACUCGUUGAAGGCCAUCCCUAUCUAUCUACUACUACUCUUUGGAAAAUAAUUGACUACAGAUGAUUGUACAAAAAAAUAAUUAAUAUUAUCUGAACAGCUCACCAUGCAUGUUCAGUAAAGUAAAGCGGAUUUGUUUAUUCAUUGUCUAGUUCAAACUUGGGGAGCAUUUUCUCAUUCUUGCGGUGAUCAGAAUAAUGUGAUUUAAGUCCAGUUAAACAUGCUUAAUUAUGCAUUUAAGCAUCUUUUAUUUAUUUGCUUUCAUUAUUUUUUCCUUCUUAAUGUGUUGUUAUUGUUUGGAACAACAAGUAAGACAAAUCUAGCCAGUUAGCAUUCACCGCAUCACCGCAUAAUGAAAGAUUAUUCAUAUUUGGAAAUGAAUAAUUAAUUAAAAAACUGUAUUAUUAAGGCAAAUGGGCACUUAAUAUUUGUAUCUUAAACCUUCCGAGUCGGAUAUUCGAGUAAAUUAGUUAAAAAGCUAUGCAAAAUGUGAAUGUGACAGACUACGUAGUAAAGUUUGGGUUAAGAGAGAGAGAGAGAGAGAGAGAGAGUAUUUCGCAGCCGGCUGGUCCCUAUGUACGGGAAGAAUCAUAGAAAGUUAGGUAACUACACACAUUUUUCAAAGAUGUCGAUCAUGAAAAAUAUUUGAUAACAAAUUCAGGGAGGACAUACUGCUUAAAUUAUUAACCUAGAAAUAAAGUUCGAUCUCUUGCUUUAACUUUUCUGCUACGUAGCUCUUAUUGCAUUAAACAAAGCCUUAUUAAAGUAAAGAUGGUCACACCCUUAGCCCUUUAGGUGAUACGUUCAGGGAAAUGGUUAAUGUUUUUACAAGCUCUUGUUUAUUUUUAUUUUUUAAUAUUUUCAGAUAUUUUUACAAUCUUUUACUGCGCAGUAAUAGAGUGUAAAAAUCAUAUCUAUGUAUUUAUUUAUUAUUAACUAUGUUUACAAUGAACCUUCUAUUCCAUGAAACAAGAUAUAAAAAUAAAAAUAAAAAGGAGAAGGGCAUAAAUUAACAAAAUUCGGUCAAAGGCCGCAUUGGUCCAAACAUUAAUUGAUAAUCUAUGACAAAUAGUCUGGCCCCAUUAGCAUUAUUUUAACAGUAAUAUUGUUUUUUUACUAAGAUAAUUAAUAAUUGCCAAGUGAAAAUUUGGCAUGAGUACCAUUGUGAAGGGUAAAAACCAAAGCUAUAUAAAGGGUGAGGAGGCUUAGCUUCAGAGGCAGACAACCAAAAACCCAUUCUUAACGAAGGAUGGGAAAAAUGGUGCCUUCACAAGUGACCUCUCUUGUGGUCACUCUCCUAGUGGCAAUAGUCUCUCUCACAUUGCCUUCAGAAACUUCAGCUAACUACCCUUACACCUCUCCACCACCACCGGCCUCUCCUCCCUACCAUUACAAGUCACCACCGCCUCCUUCUCCUUCUCCUCCAGUGCACUACUCACCACCUAAGCAUCCCUACCACCCUAAGUCACCACCACCUCCUGUGUACGCACCACCUAAGCAUCCCUACCACCCUAAGUCACCACCACCUCCUGUGUACCCACCACCUAAGCAUCCCUACCACCCCAAGUCACCACCACCAUCACCAAAGCCUUACCACUACAAAUCCCCACCACCACCUCCUGCUCCAGUGCACUCACCACCCCCACCUAAGGAGCCAUACCACUACAAGUCCCCACCACCACCACCCAAGAAGCCCUACCACUACAAAUCUCCCCCACCACCUCCUCCUCCAGUUCACUCACCACCACCACCCAAGGAGCCUUACCACUACAAAUCUCCACCACCACCACCCAAGAAACCUUACUAUUACAAGUCUCCUCCACCACCACCAAAGAAGCCUUACCACUACAUGUCUCCUCCCCCACCGGUGUACUCACCACCUCCACCAGUGCACUCACACCCACCACCAAAAAAGCCUUACCAUUACAAAUCUCCUCCCCCGCCAGAAUAUUCACCAGCUCCACCAGUGCACUCAACCCCACCACCAAAGAAGCCCUACCAUUACAAAUCCCCACCACCACCACCACCACACAAGAAGCCUUAUUACCCUGUUCACUCACCACCUCCACCUAAGAAGCCUUACCACUACAAAUCCCCACCACCACCUUCUCCUACUCCUCCUAAAUACUCACCACCUAAGCACCCCUACCACUACAAGUCUCCACCACCACCACCAAAGAAGCCUUACCAUUACAAGUCCCCACCACCUCCUUCUCCUACUCCCCCUAAAUACUCACCACCUAAGCACCCCUACCACUACAAGUCACCACCACCACCACCCCAAGAAGCCUUACCACUACAAGUCUCCACCACCACCACCUCCUCCAGUUCCCACACCAUCUCCACCCAAGAAACCUUACCACUACAAGUCUCCCCCACCACCCCCUCCAGUCUACAAGUCUCCUCCACCACCAGUUUACUCACCACCACCACCACCUAAGAAACCUUACAAGCCACCAACUCCUCCAGCAGUUCACCCACCACACGGUUACAUCUAUUCCUCACCCCCACCUCCUCACCACUACUAGAUAUUGAAAGUUUAAUUGCAUCAAGCUGGUAAGCUUCUCCAUUCUAUGCUAUUAUUCAUUAAUUAGUUAGUACUACUGUUGUCAAUUUGGAAAUCACCAUACAACCAAAUGCACACUCUGACGAAAUAACAUAUAAAUUCUAAUUGAAUAGUCUUUAUUUCCAUUUUUGGCUAAUAAUCCUUAUUAGCAUAUGGAUAAUGUAUUUCCAACAUAUCGUUAUUAACUUAUUACUCAAUUAAUAUUUCUUUUUCUUUAAAUUCAGUAGCCGUGUGUAACAAAUAGACCAAUGGCAGAGACCCAACAAAUAACAAUAAUAUGUCUUUGCAGGUAAGGGAAGAAGAAAGGUCAGAAUAAAGAGGGGCUGUUGAAGUCGAACAGCGCGCCUUAUUACCACACAAAGAAGAAGAGAGAGAAAAAAACGAGUCUCCACGCAG